Molecule: long non-coding RNA, 2558 nt
Organism: Leopardus geoffroyi (Geoffroy's cat)
Lineage: Eukaryota; Metazoa; Chordata; Mammalia; Carnivora; Felidae
Exons: 4
Source: RefSeq, a predicted model, not a curated record
CGAACUCACGGACUGGGUGUGAGUGAGAUCAAGACCUGAGCCGAAAUCAAGAGUCAGAUGCUUAACUGACUGAGGCACCCAGACGCCCUCGGGGGCUUUUCUAAACUGCUUUCUUGUCCUUCAUUGCACAAGAUGCUUCAAGAAUAGCCUUGGGAAAUGGGCAGGACAGGAGCGCGGUCUCGUUUACAGCCUUGAGUACUUUUACCAGAAGCGUGCCCACGUCCUGCUGAAUCUGCACAAGCCUGCCUCCUGGCCGCAGGGGCCCAGCAAGCCUUUGGCCAUUUGUCCCCUCUAGCCCCUGGGUCGUGAGGCUCCAGCACCUCGAAGGCCAUCCUCAACCACCCUCCUACUGCCCAUCACUCAGCCAUCGGCUCCCCGCCCUCCAUCCACAUUCCCUCUUGAGCCCCACCUAAGUGCCCAGCGUGGUAACCAGAAUGGAAGGCUCAAAGCUUCAAAAUAGCCCGGGCUUGUUAUCAGCAACUUUCCCUUCCAACUUUAUCACUGAGAAGCAGAAGCUUUUGAAAGAGUACAAACUUGGGGCGGUGGGCAGCAGCUGCCAGGCGCCCUCUUGUCUCCUGGAGUUGGACCGAGCGGAGAGAUGGCCGGUUCGAGGCACCGGAGGUGGUCAGUGACUGGCCUGAAAUUCACCAUGGGCUGGUGAUAGACGGAUGCACAAGGUUCAGAACAAGAUGCACGAGGACUAGAGACUGCAAAAGGUGUGGCGUUCCUAAGGCCGGAGGACCCUUCGUUUGCCAUGAGCGUCAUCCGGAUUGCAGUCAUCAUCCUGGGGCUGACCCUGAGCGUGGUUCAGGGGCCCACACACAGCAUCCCAACCUCCAUCAGGGGCAAGUCGCAGUAUCCCCACUGCGUUUGUUUCCUGAGGUUGUUGUAACGAAUUGUCACCAGUUCAUGGCUUAAGGCAGCCCUAAUUUGUUCUCUUACAAAGAGAGGUCAGAAGUCCAUGGUCAGCCUCAAGGGGCUGAUGUCAAGGAGUUGGUUUCCUUCUGCCUGCUCUGAGGGGAGAAUCUCUUUCCCUGAUUUUUCCAGUGUUUAGUGGCCACCUGUAUUCCUGGCUGGUGGUCCCUCCCUCCAUCUCCAGAGCACAUCACAACCUCUGCUGCCCUCAGCACAGCACUGUUCCCUCCUCCGUGUCACGUCCCCCUCUGACUCCCUCUUACAAGGACCUUUGGGAUUAGAUUGGGCCCUGCCCAGAAAAUCCAGCAUAACCUCCCCAUCUAAAUGCCUUAACCCCAUAUGCCAAGUCCCUUUGCCAUGUAAGGUAAUGUUCACACGUUCCAGGAACCUGGAUAUCUUUGGGGCCAUUAUUCAGCCUGCCACACCCAUUUUCCAGAUGGGGAAUUUGGGCCUAGAAAGGUGAGAUCACUUACCUAUGACCAGGCAGGAUUUGGCAUCUGAUGCCUGGAGAGCUAGGGCCUGACAGCCAGGUGGGAGUUAUUCCCUGCAGGGUUAUUAGGACUGGGGAGGGGCCUAAAGAGUCCCCCAGGAGGGGCUGGGGCUUCGGGGAUACUGGCUGCCUCAGAGGUCAAGUGGAAUCCAGGCCUCUGGCCUCAGGUGGUCUCCUUGAGCUGGGGAGGUGAUGGGGGCAGAUUAAAGCAAGAUCUGAUUCAGGUCUGGUGACUCAACUGCCCCUAACCCAUCUCUAGCUGACCUCUGGACACAGGGCUGGGCAAAGCAGGAUUUCUCAAACUCUUAUCCCAGAGAAACCCUGGGGUUGAAGGAAAUGGGCCCUGGGGGUGUAGCAGACCAUUUUAUGCCCCCCUCCCUUCCCUGCCCUUCACAUGUGUCUUUGCUUCUAACACCCCCACGCCCCACCCCCACCCCCCAACCCUGGCCCUGCCCUUGGCUCCUGAACAGCUUGGCCUGUACAGGUAAAGAAUGGGAUUGUGGCCGGGAAUUUACUGCCUCUAACCCUUCCCUUCCUCGGACCUUGUGCAAAGACUGACCCAUGAAGGCCCUGUCACCUUGCCCUGAGUGGGGACAGUUCUGGGCCCACCUUCUACUCUAGAGUCCCCUGUGGGAUCAUGCUGCAGCCACCCUCCCAGCUUCACCUCAAAUCCCACCCUGCUCAGCUUUCUCCUUUUCCCCCUCCUGACUUGUCCACUCCCUUACUGGUCUGCCGUGGCAGCCUUUCCUUAACGAAUCACUUGCGUAUAAAUCCUCAUCACAGAGUCGGCUUCUGGGACCCGCCCUGAGGCAGGCCCCUCUCUGUGUGUUAAAGCAUCCAUGCACAUUGUGCAUUCUGCCCCAUAACAUACCUGUGCAUUUUAAUUUAAAGGUAUUUUCUGUGAACAGCCUUCAGGUAACGUGCUCCAAGAUGUGGGUGUGGCUCAGAUGCCCCUGCACCCCCACGUGUGUCCCACAUUGAGCCGUGGGGGGCAGAGGGAGAGGCUGGCGGUGUCUUGUCCUGAGUGUCUCCAUCUGUCCUCCAUCUGUCCAUUAGAACCCCAGCCACAAAGGCAGGCCACACAGCACGCCGGACCCUAACCUUGUUCAGAUUUCUUUAUUGAAAAAUUAAAUUCAUAAGCUCUGUAUAUAAA